Chlorocebus sabaeus (green monkey) is the source of this 1828-nucleotide non-coding RNA. The record is from the annotation of a RefSeq genome assembly. Lineage: Eukaryota; Metazoa; Chordata; Mammalia; Primates; Cercopithecidae.
UGUAAAUAUGACUUUUGCUGAAUUGCUGCCUUUAACAUAUUUUGGAUCCUUUAUUUUUCCUGGAAAAUUUUCAUUAUUCACUGUCUUUUUGAACAGCCCUUAGCUGCCCUUCAACCUGACUCCUUAGCUGACCCAUUUUCCCUGAUGCCCAUUCUGAUGGGACAUGUGGGUAAAUAGAUUUUCCUAAAAUGCCCUUUUGGGGUGCUGACACCUUUAAAAGUUAUAUACGUACAGGUCUACACAUCCCACAGACCAAGACUGCUUCUGGGAGUGAGAAAUCACAGUAAUAAUGAAUAGAAUGAGAGAAGCAGUGUCUAGGAAUCAGACCAUGGAUAUGUGAAUACAGAUGGUGACUGGAGAGCUGCGGAGACCAGCGGGGUUCUGACGUCUCUGAGCCAUGGGAAAGUGCGUGUCCUGGUGCCAACAUCAGAUAUUGUGUGGCUGCCCUGUGGUUCCUACACGGCUGCUCAGUAAGGACCAUUCAAUCGAAGAAAUCCAGGCCUGGGAUCUUGGCCCUGUGCUCACUGAUGGGCACUUGGCCGCUGUGUCCCCUCUGGCCUGGCAGAGUUCCCUGAGCAGGGACCUGUGUAUGGUCUCAACAGGUGCUUCCUCCCAGGGCCUUGCAAGAAGAAAAGCAAACCUUCCUCCUCCUCAGUCUGCAGAGUGAGCUGAGCUGCAUCCCCAGGGCUCAGGGAGGGGCUGGGCAGUCCCUGGGUGGAAACACGUUUGCAUGAGCAGCCCCUCCUCUGCAGAGGGUGGGAAGAAAAGGAGGCCUGGGGCAGCCCAGUCCCACUGCGGGGAAAGAGGCUGUGUCCACCAUGGCCUGGACUCCUCUCCUCCUCCUGCUCCUCUCUCACUGUACAGGUUCCCUCUCCCAGCCUGUGCUGACUCAGCCGGCCUCCCUCUCAGCAUCUCCUGGAGCAUCAGCCAGACUCACCUGCACCUUCAGCGGUGGCAUCAAUGUUGCUGGCUACUACAUAUACUGGUACCAGCAGAAGCCAGGGAGUCCUCCCCGGUAUCUUCUGUGGUACAAAUCAGACUCAGAUAAGGGCCAGGGCUCUGGAGUCCCCAACCGCUUCUCUGGAUCCAAAGAUGCUUCGGUGAACACAGGGAUUUUACACAUCUCUGGGCUCCAGUCUGAGGAUGAGGCUGACUAUUACUGUGCCAUUUGGCACAGCAGCGCUUCUCACAGUGACACACACAGAUGGGGAAGUGGGACAAAAUCUCACCCUGCUCUGGGUCUUGCUCUGUAACCAUUUUUAAAUUGUAAAAUGACUGGGCUAGGCACAAACGACAUUCGGAUGUACUUUCUAGUUGUUAAAGGCUCUUCUGUCAAUUUCCCAUCCAUUUUUCUGAUGUCUCAGUAAAACAAAAACAGAACAAAAGAAAACCACCUGAUGACCCUGAAGUGUUGGCUGCGUGUCCAUGUGUGCUAACAUCAGUACCUGUGGAGCUGGACUUUUUUCUUGAAAGAAGCAAAAUGAGGCUUUUCAAGCUCACAUCAUGCUCAGAGCCUGGGAUAUCCUGCAGAGACAUCCUUGGGGAGGCUGUGAUAACAGAAUGAUGCCAAAAUGCUAAUGGAAGUGAGCAGGGGAUGGUUUAUGGGGAAAUGAGGAGACGGGUGUGGGGUCAGAUGUGGUAAGGAGGGUUCAGCCUGAAGAGGAGGCUGUCCAUUGUGACUCAUAGGAGGAGGAGGAGGUCUGGAGCCUAGAGCAGUGACAAAAGGAGGACCUGGAAUGACCUGGGCCAUCAAGAUACACAGGGACUGGGGGUCUCUGUCUCUGAGGGUUCCUGAGGAGGAUCAUAUAAAAAAAUCUAUAGUCAGUGU